Molecule: long non-coding RNA, 217 nt
Organism: Arabidopsis thaliana (thale cress)
Lineage: Eukaryota; Viridiplantae; Streptophyta; Magnoliopsida; Brassicales; Brassicaceae
Product: other RNA
Exons: 1
Source: RefSeq
ACUUGAUGGCUGGCCUCGUUGAAAUAUUUAGGAGAAUGUUUCCAAAGCCGGACAAUAACAUUCCUGAGCUUCAUCUGGUGGGAUUUCUCGCCCUUUUUCAGUGUACGGUUGGGUUAAAAUAUUCAUGUACGUUGGGGUUAAAAUAUCUUAAUUUUGCUUUCAUAUAUGUCGAAAUAUUAAUUGGGUGUUGGUUUUUCUUCGUUUGGUGUCUGUUUCA